UACAGAACCCGCAAGCAUUAUCCGGAUUUAUUGGGCGUAAAGUGUUCGUAGGCGGUUUUGCAAGUCCGAUAUUAAAUUCCCGGGCUUAACCCGGGAAGUGUGUCGGAAACUGCGGAACUAGAAGGCGCUAGGGGCUGUCGGAACGCACGGUGUAGGGGUGAAAUCCGUUGAUAUCGUGCGGAACACCAAAAGCGAAGGCAGACAGCUGGGGUGACCUUGACGCUGAGGAACGAAAGCGUGGGGAG
Molecule: ribosomal RNA, 245 nt
Filed under: uncultured bacterium
Lineage: Bacteria
Description: partial 16S ribosomal RNA
Rfam family: Bacterial small subunit ribosomal RNA
Source: RNAcentral